This 72-nucleotide transfer RNA is filed under the name Bos taurus (domestic cattle). It matches the Rfam family "tRNA". From Rfam's summary of the family: Transfer RNA (tRNA) molecules are approximately 80 nucleotides in length. Their secondary structure includes four short double-helical elements and three loops (D, anti-codon, and T loops). RNAcentral also lists the same sequence under 2 other names. Lineage: Eukaryota; Metazoa; Chordata; Mammalia; Artiodactyla; Bovidae. The record is from Rfam by way of RNAcentral.
UCCCUGAUGGUUCAGUGGUUAAGACUUCCCCUUCCAAUGGAGGGGAUACAGGUUCAAUCCCUGGUCGGGGAG